UGUGACUUAGUUUAUUUAGAAUAGUCAACUUGCACUUGACAGGAGAGGAUCUCAGUGACGG
Molecule: transfer RNA, 61 nt
Filed under: Tonoscolex birmanicus
Lineage: Eukaryota; Metazoa; Annelida; Clitellata; Crassiclitellata; Megascolecidae
Description: tRNA-Ala
Source: RNAcentral